GCGAUGGUGGUAUAGUGUGUGACCAUAGCUGCCUUCCAAGCAGUUGAACCCGGGUUCGAUCCCGGCCAUCGCA
RNAcentral lists this transfer RNA (73 nucleotides) under Tigriopus californicus. Its description in RNAcentral is "tRNA-Gly for anticodon UCC". It matches the Rfam family "tRNA". From Rfam's summary of the family: Transfer RNA (tRNA) molecules are approximately 80 nucleotides in length. Their secondary structure includes four short double-helical elements and three loops (D, anti-codon, and T loops). The record is from Rfam by way of RNAcentral. Lineage: Eukaryota; Metazoa; Arthropoda; Copepoda; Harpacticoida; Harpacticidae.